This 206-nucleotide ribosomal RNA is filed under the name Clostridioides difficile. Its description in RNAcentral is "partial 16S ribosomal RNA". It matches the Rfam family "Bacterial small subunit ribosomal RNA", at positions 1043 to 1250 of the family's 1533-position model. The record is from RNAcentral. Lineage: Bacteria; Bacillati; Bacillota; Clostridia; Peptostreptococcales; Peptostreptococcaceae.
GCAUGGUUGUCGUCAGCUCGUGUCGUGAGAUGUUGGGUUAAGUCCCGCAACGAGCGCAACCCUUGUCUUUAGUUGCCAGCAUUAAGUUGGGCACUCUAGAGAGACUGCCAGGGAUAACCUGGAGGAAGGUGGGGAUGACGUCAAAUCAUCAUGCCCCUUAUGCUUAGGGCUACACACGUGCUACAAUGGGUAGUACAGAGGGUUGC